Lynx canadensis (Canada lynx) is the source of this 5147-nucleotide long non-coding RNA. RefSeq lists it as uncharacterized. Lineage: Eukaryota; Metazoa; Chordata; Mammalia; Carnivora; Felidae. The transcript is spliced from 3 exons. The record is from RefSeq and is a predicted model, not a curated record.
CCCUCCCCUGCUUGUGCUUUCUCUCUGUCUCUCAAAAAUAAUAAAUAAACGUUUUUUAAAAACUUAUUUAAAACUUUCACUGGUGGAGAACUGGGAUAGGGCUCUAGUAGAAGGGAUGCAAGGUAUAAUAACUCAGUUCCUUGAAAUGUUUGGGAGAAGUAGUAAUUAUAAGGACUAUGGAAUUUAAUGGCUCUUGCUGUAUGCUACUGAAGCAUUGGAGAAAAAAAAAGCAACAAAAUAUUGAGGGCAAUUAAUUUCCAAUUCAAGAUGAAAUAUGAAAAGCCAGAGGACUUUCCUGGCAGCAUAUAAGCAGACUCUCAAAUCCUGCAGCCAGAUGGAAGCAAAAGUUGAAGAUUGGGUCCAAGACUUUAUAAAUAGUAGCACAACCCCAUAGAAGAGUGAAUUCUUAGCCAUGCCAAGUCUGUUACACCAAGGUUAGGGUCUUGAAUGGGAAGGAGUGGGACCCUGAAACUUGAGAUGGGGAUAUCUUAUCUGGGUUGAUGAACUUGAAAAUCUGGAAUCCUUGGAUUCCCUUGGCCCCUCUGGGCCUGAAGAAGUAACCCAUUCCUUCCAGCUGAAGGCCACUUAUCCUCCGCUACUUGAAGAUGAUGUCGAGGCCUUCACUCUGUUAGACAGCAUGUACUUGCUCCCCAUAAUCAACCCCCAUCUCACCUCCUGGCCAUCAGACUAAUGACUAGGGUCAAGUAACAGUAUAACCUAGCACAUUCCAUAACUACUCAGGGAAGGAAUGGACUAUAGCUAAAGAAGCUGCAGGGUCUAGCCAACAUAUAUUGGCAGGAGCUGGGAGAAUGUAAGUGGGACUGGAUCUAAGGAUGUUAGAUUAAUGGAGGCAAGGUAUAAACAUUGGCUAAAGAAGAAUUUAUGGUUAUGAGAGCAAUCUCUAUAGCAGGAUUUAAUACUCUGGGGAAUAGUGUUAAUUUGCUGCAGGAAUGGUUUUUUGAGGAAGCUUUGAAAAAUAGAAAAUAGAAAAUUUCUAUUCUGAAAUAGAAAAUUCAGAACUGCUUUGGAAGCAGUAGAGGAUUAAAAGGCUCAGAGAAAUGUGUAUUCUAAGGUGGAUAUAUUAUAUAAGUCUGAAAAACCCAUUUGUUUACCAUGUUCUGCAGAAGAAUCCAGAUGAUAUCUCAUUUACUAAAGUGAUAAGGAAUGUGCUGGUAAAAGGCGCACCAGAAUCAUUGAGAAACUUCAUGGUGACUAUCUUAUGCAGGCCAGGGUUUCAGCUCUAAGCUCCAUCAUUAUAAGACUGAACCACCUGAGAACCAUGGGGAUAAUAGGAUCCUAAAGUCACGGAGCCUGAGUGGUAGGACUAAAACCAUCAGGAGCAAAGUGGGGACAAUUAUCAUAAGAAAAAAGGGUGGAGUUAUGAAGGAGUUAGGAAGAUGUGUGUCUAGGGGUGCCAGUCUGGCUGAGUCAGAAGAGUGUUUGACUCUUGAUCUUGGGGUCAUGAGUUUGAGCCCCACGUUGGGUGUAGAGAAUACUUAAGUAAAUAAAACUUAAUAAACAAACAAACAAACAAACAAACCUCUUCCCCCAAAGAGAUGUGUGUCUAGGAGCAAGAUGAAUGGACAACGAAUAGGAGUUUUGAAUAUUGCUCAAUCUGUAAAAUAAGAAAUCAAGAAUGGAUGAUCAGGAGGCUGAGAGCAGCCACCCCCCAAAAAAGUCAUGAUUCCUUGCCCGGUUUCCAUAUCAGAGUCAGCUUUCAGAUCCAGAGCUCAGUGGGUGAAGUCUGCUAAAGUCCUUGCCAGAGGAGAUUAAUAUGGUCUCAAGUACAGACUUCUGAUAUGAUGAAUGCAUUCUUUUCCAUCCUGGUAAGAAAAGAAAAUAAAGAAGCAGUUUGUAUUCCUGUGGGAUGCAUACAGCAAUACACAUUUAUGUUGUUGUCCUAGGGCCAUGUUAACUUUAUCUUCAGAUGUAAUAUAGUACAAAAGGACCUGGACCACCUGGAAAUGCAGAAUGUCACAUUGGUCUAUUAUAUUUAUGGAUGACUUCAUUACACUAGAUGAGCCAGAAGGCGCAAAUAUAUUGGUGAACUUGGAAAGACACCUGUGCUCCAGUCAGUGGGAGAUAAGCCCUUUGAAGAUUCAAUGGCCAAAACAUCAGUUUUUAGAGAUCCAGUGGUCUGGGUAGGUCAGGACAUUUUCCUCUAAAGUAAAGGUCAACUUAUUGUAAUUAUGUUAGGUAGGAGUUAGAAUAUAGAGCAAUGGAAGGAAUGCCCUGAGGCAGAGUCCCAAGUCCUUGAAGAGGAAUGAUAGAGACAAGCGCUGGAGGCAAGGAAGGUAAUUAAAAAAAAAAAAAAGUUACACAUUAUAAGCCCUGGAGCUCAACAUCCUGACCUUGUGGCUUCCAAGACUUUGGGCCUCACAGAUAAAGAGGCACAGGUGCAGAACAUGCACUCGUCUCUUCCACUUUUGCCCUAGGGUAACCCCUAGGCUCAUUAUAAUGCAUUUGCCUUGUGGGCACAGGCUCCCCACCCCACCGAGCCCCGCCCUUUUACCCAGGCGCCAUUACAGUUCUGGCACAAACCUUGUAUGGUCAAAAACUCCCCCUCCCAACCUGUGAGAUGAGUGUCCCAAAUGAUUGGAAACAGACUCCAUUAGAGACCACCCCACUGUACCUCACAGUUCCUCCCAACCCAGAAAGACCCGAUAAUAUCCAAUGCCAAAACAACCUAGGGUCUGUCCACUCUCCCUCCUUGCGAGUGUACUUUUGCUUUAAUAAAUUGCAUCUGCUUGCUACUUUCCUUCUGACCUUCUUUAUUCUGGGCAUGGAUCCCCAUGAAAAUCCUCUCAUGGGGAGUCCCAGGACUGAGACUUCUACUCACACAAUGUAGACACACUCUCACCCCUGACAAUUGUACCUCCCACCACUAAGAAGGAAGCACAACACCCCAUAGAUUUCUCUGGGUUCUGGAGACAGCAUAUUCCACAUUCCAGCCCAUUUACUGAGUAACAUGGAAGACUUCCUGGAGUUGAUGGAAUAAACAGCACCGUUGCCUGGAACUUACAAGACCUUAUGAUGUUGGAGAGCGGGUCAGUUUGAGCUGGCAGACAGUUAUGGCCAGAGCCGUUUGAGCCGGCAUGAUUUCCCAGAGCCCAGCUGAGCUGGCAGAAGUGUCUGCCCCCAGCCAAGCCUCUAGACUCUCAGACCACAAAUCCCCAGGUGGAAAACCUCAGCAGGAUUCCACGAAAAUUGGUGGUGGUGUGCAGAGGACCAGCUUAUGGCCAGGACGCAGUUCUACUGAUACAUUAAGGUUUUCCAAGGAGUUUACUUGGGCAGACCUGGGGACAGGAGGCUCUGCAUCUAAAAGAAGGUGUUGGGUCUGUUGGUGGUGAAGGGUGACUUGUGCUGACAAUGUAGGACCUGGUGGGGUAGCAGGAAUUUGAUCUUAGAGUCAUUGAUCUUAGACUGCUUGACUGCCAGUCAGUGGCACAUGCUGGCAGCAAUCUCCUCCAUCUUCAUGAUCUGGAUCAAGAGGGCCCAGGCAGGAGCGGUGCCACGCACCCAUGUCUUGCCAGCACUGGGUGGUAGGGGCAGUGGUCAAGCCCUGGUACUUCCGGUACAUGUUGUGUGCCACUGUGGGAGUCAUAGUGCAGCCAGAUGCCAAAGUUCUUCACCCGCAAGGGGGAUUUCUCACACACCCUGAAGACUUCAUCUUCUUCAGCUAAGGUACAAAGUGAUGAUGGAUAAAAGCAGAAAAAUGUUCACCUUUAGCCUAGAAGGCUGAUCUACAGCAUGCUUGGUUUUGACAAGGAUCAAGUAAGUGCUGGUUGUUACAUUCUUAAAGGGUCUCACGACUGUCUAUAUAUCUCAUCAAUAGUUAACAUCAAACCGAAUUAUAAGCACCAGAGAAUUCUUGUGAAAGUGGUUUUACAAGUAGAAAUACGAAGAUAUUAAUGAUCUAAUACUUCCUGCACGUCUCCUCCCCCUUGAGCACUAAGCACGUAACCACCAGCUUCAUGCAGCAGAAUGCUGCUUUUUCUGCCCAUGGGUCCUGUCCCCUUGCUACUUACUAAGUAAACUUACUAAGUGGCACCGUAAAAUUUCUCAAGAAUUCUUUCUUGACCGUCACGCUUAACAAUCCUGCAAUAAAAGUACCAGAAGCGGAACGUGGUGACAAGCGGACUAGGUGCAAAGAUUUGCAUGCGAUAGAGUGUGGAGUUCUGCACUUGGGGGUGGAUGGGCAGUGCCCCACCACCUUGCACCCUCGCGGUGUGCCUGAGGUCUUCAUGGCACACUCUCUGCUCUUGCCACCACCCACGAAAGGCCAUAAAUACACUUUUAAAAAGCUUUACCUAUCUAGACCAAUAACCUUAACUUAUUUCAUCCACCAAAAUAACCAAACAAACAAACCUAAAAAAAAAAAAAAAAAAUUCAGGUCCAACCUUUAUAAACUAGUAAAUUUUGUACCUGUUUCAUGGCAGAAUUUUCAAACAGAAGCUAUAAGGUCAAAGUCUAUGUCUAUCUUAUCUAUUCACAUGUGUCCAUGGAUGUGUUGUAACUGAGUUUCUACUUCUGGAUGGUAUUGCUAAAAUUAACUUAUAAAUGGGCUAUAUUUAGUUGGUCUAAAGACACAUGCUUGUAAGGAUUGGGUUUGUAAUGCUUUUCAAGUCCAUGUGAUCUAAAAAAAAUUUUUUGAUAUAAAAAUUAGUUUGGGAUUGAUGGUUUAAUUAAGAUAAGCAUGUCCUUAGAGUUAUCAAGAUUAAAUAUAAAACUUUUAUCUACAUGAGUUUACUAACCAAAUAAUUUUGUUAUCUCUUAUAAUAUCUAUCAACGAGAAAGUAGUGGCUUAAAAUAAUGACUGACUUUGUCUAAUAUUUCAUAAAGUUUUUGUAAGUAAGUAAUCUAAAUAUAAUUGUUAAAAAAAAAAGUUUUAGGUAAGGGGUCAAUGGCCCUCCCAACAGUAGUUUCCCUGAUUUUUUUUGUAACUUAUAAUCUUAAAAGUUUUGCUAAGUUAAAUAAUGAGUUAAGUUAAAUUCAUUAAACAUCUAGAUUAUUUCCAAAUAAGACAAAAUACUAGACACUAAUUACUAGACAUAGGUUUAUCUACUUUUGGCUUCUUAUUAAAGAGAAACUAAACUUGUUUGGAUAUGUUAAUGUUACAUUAAAAUAAAUUAUGUUUAAUAAUUUAA